GGAAUAGGAGACUUCUUCCGAACAAACAUUUUGACACUUUAGUGGAGGAAUGUGAAGAUGGUGCCACGAGUUUCUCCACAGGUCGACGCGCAGGCGCAGUGUUGGCCAACACUGCGCCUCUCCAUCGCAUUUCAGUGUCAGGCUUUAAACCUUGUAAAAAAACUGCAACUCCUAUUAACCGUCCAAAAAAUGUCGCAAACAAGCAAUGCAAGCGAUAAAGCUUCUCCAAUACUUCAGUCUUUUGGACCUGGAGACACUCCAGAAAGUGUCACAUCUUUUGUCAUGGAAACAAGCUCAGCGUCUAACUCAGAGGAGCAUGGCGACAGCAGAUCCUCCUCUACCUCGACAAACUUAAGCUGUUAUCCCUCCCCAGAGAUUUUAAGAAGAGAAGCAGUGGAAACACAGACUUUCCUUAUUGGAGAGGAGAUGCUUGGGAUUAUCUGUAAUGUUAAAAACUCUACCCUGCUGGAUGACAGCCAUUCGAAGAGCAUCCACACGUAUCAUCCACCCAACAUGUCCACUAUUAUAGAUGUAUCCACACACGUUGCUGAAAAGAACAAUGAGAGCAGGUGAGUGGAUAUAUUAAUACUGCUUUAAAAAAAUAACAAAAUGAUUUUAAAUGUUGUUUCAGUGCUGACAUCUCUGGAAAGAAAGCUGUUGUGCAAUUAAUUUUUAAUCAACCAGUCUUUCCCCCCCCCCCCACAAAGCUACCAGAAGGAAACUCUCACUGAAAGUAAGAUACAAAUUGAUUCAUUUCAUUUAGGAAAUAUUAUUUUUAAGCUACACGAUUUAUAAGUUUCUCUGUUUUUAUAUUAUUAAAUCCAUUUUUAUAACCAAAUUAUACCUAUGUUUCUUUGUAAUCUGCAUCUACAGAUAAAUCUCCAGAGAUGAAACUUGCACAAGAUGUAAGAAAAAUAUGUCUUUCUACAUCAUUUUAAAUGUUUUUCGUUAAUCAACUGUGUUUAUUUCAGUAGCAGUUUACUAAUUGUGUUUUUGCCCUAGUUUGUUGGGAGAAGGCCCAUAGUGUGCAGAAAAAAGGUUUCAUUCAAAAGCCCGGUCAUUUCUGAGCCUCUGAAAGAGAAACGUGCUCCAUCGCCGUCAGGCAUAAAUGACACCAUCCGGAAACUAUCCCGAGUUUCUGAGCGGACGAAACCAGAUGCACAGAUGCCCAAAAUGGAUGAAAUCAGCUCUAAAAAAGAAAUACCGGUGACCCCAAAAAGGCCUGUCGAGACUGAGAAAACCAUGUUCUUUGACUUUACCAGCAACACUGACAUGGAUGCUCUCUUUCAGAACAUGAGAGAUAGAAGUGCAAAACUUAGGUGCUCAUUUUAUUUUCCUUUUACUGUAGGCACUCAAAGCCCUCUGGGUAAUAAUAGCAAAUCUGAGUUAACCUGAAGUUAACUCUGAUACUACAGUGUACAGUUGCACAACGUAGUUUUUGCCUAAAUGACAAUAUAAAAACAUGAUUGGAACGAACAUGCUCUCUGUGAGAAAUGACUCUGACUUUAGAAGACAUAGAUAAAUUAAUAACACAAAUACAAUGGCAAAAAAGAGAACUAGCUCAUAAAUUAGUUUGAUACAACACAUGAAUGCCUUCAAAACAGUAAAUGAUUGUAUUUUCUUCUUCAGUAUAGGACAUCAAGAAAAUAAACAUACUAAUAAGAGUUUUUAAACCUUAUAAAACUAUACAAGAUGUGGGUAUAUUUUAAUAUGUAAUGUCUGUUUCUAUAGCUCUGUUUCUUCUGUAACCUCUUUUAAUGUAUCUGCAUAUUCUAUAAAGAAAAAACAAUGUUAGAGCCUGUAUAUUUAAUUCUUGUAAUUCAAAUGUGUUGUGAAUGUUGAACACUAGGUGGCGCAUCUGUAUCAGUUUUCUUGUCCUCUUUAAAAAAUAAAAAUAAGAUAUAACACGUGUUAAACGUAUGCCAACGUUUUUAUUUUAAUAUUCACAAUUCUAUA
Molecule: long non-coding RNA, 1956 nt
Filed under: Oryzias sinensis (Chinese medaka)
Lineage: Eukaryota; Metazoa; Chordata; Actinopteri; Beloniformes; Adrianichthyidae
Description: lncRNA (ENSOSIG00000017368.1)
Source: RNAcentral